ACGUAGGGGGCAAGCGUUAUCCGGAUUUACUGGGUGUAAAGGGAGCGUAGACGGUAAAGCAAGUCUGAAGUGAAAGCCCGGGGCUCAACCCCGGGACUGCUUUGGAAACUGUUUAACUAGAGUGCUGGAGAGGUAAGUGGAAUUCCUAGUGUAGCGGUGAAAUGCGUAGAUAUUAGGAGGAACACCAGUGGCGAAGGCGGCUUACUGGACAGUAACUGACGUUGAGGCUCGAAAGCGUGGGGAGCAAACAG
Molecule: ribosomal RNA, 251 nt
Filed under: uncultured bacterium
Lineage: Bacteria
Description: partial 16S ribosomal RNA
Rfam family: Bacterial small subunit ribosomal RNA
Source: RNAcentral